This 459-nucleotide ribosomal RNA is filed under the name uncultured bacterium. RNAcentral describes it as "partial 16S ribosomal RNA". It matches the Rfam family "Bacterial small subunit ribosomal RNA", at positions 338 to 795 of the family's 1533-position model. The record is from RNAcentral.
CCUACGGGUGGCUGCAGUGAGGAAUAUUGGUCAAUGGGAGAGAUCCUGAACCAGCCAAGCCGCGUGAGGGAAGACGGCCCUAUGGGUUGUAAACCUCUUUUGUCGGAGAACAAAACCCGGGACGAGUCCCGGACUGCGUGUAUCCGAAGAAAAAGCAUCGGCUAACUCCGUGCCAGCAGCCGCGGUAAUACGGAGGAUGCGACCGUUAUCCGGAUUUAUGGGUUUUACGGGGUGCGUAGGAGGUCUGUUACGUCGUCGGUAAAAUUGCGGGGCUCAACCCCGUCGAGCCGUUGAAACUGGCAGACUUGAGUUGGCGAGAAGUACGCGGAAUGCGGGGUGUAGCGGUGAAAUGCAUAGAUAUCGCGCAGAACUCCGAUUGCGAAGGCAGCGUACUGGCGCCAGACUGACGCUGAGGCACGAAAGCGUGGGGAUCGAACAGGAUUAGAUACCCCUGUAGUC